Long non-coding RNA from Nyctereutes procyonoides (raccoon dog), 3114 nucleotides. RefSeq lists it as uncharacterized. The transcript is spliced from 7 exons. The record is from RefSeq and is a predicted model, not a curated record. NCBI's taxonomy places the organism in Eukaryota, Metazoa, Chordata, Mammalia, Carnivora, Canidae.
AAUUUGCUUUAUUAUUUUUUUAAUAUUUUAUUUAUUUAUUCAGAGAGACACAGAGAGAGAGGCAGAGACACCGGCAGAGGGAGAAGCAGGCUUCCUGCGGGGAGCCCGAUGUAGGACUCGAUCCCAGGACCCUUGGAUCAUGAUUUGAGCCAAAGGCAGAUGCUCAACCACUGAGCCACCCAGUCUUGGUAAAAUGUCUUUCUUCUUGACAUGGAUCAAAGCUAUUUUUAUCACUGCCUUGGCAUUUCCUCAUUAUUCUGAAACUUCUUUUGAUCCUCCACCAGAAGACCGUAAAAUGCCAAACUGUGAUGUGUAUAUACAUCAGUUACAUUUUUGCACAAGAGAAAUGGACCCAAUCUGUGCAACCAAUGGCCAAACUUAUUCCAAUACAUGCGUUUUCUGCAGUGAACAAUUCGAGAGUGGUGGAGCAUUUAAGUUUGGUUAUUACGGUAGAUGCUGAUUUUGCCUGAGCUACACAAUCCUCUGGCUUUUAUUGUAAUCCAGUUUUGUGGUAGAUUCUACAACCAACCUCCUCAGUCAGAGUUUUAAAUUCCUAAAUAACCAAAGACUUCUGUGGUAUUCAAGAUGGGAUACAAGAUGUUGAAGAAUUUUCCUAAGACCCUACGACUGAAAGAUUUUUCUUCUCUAUGUCUAAUUAUUCAAAAACAUUUGAAAACUCUUAAUUAUGUGUUUCUAAAUAUAAAACCUAGUGCAAUUUAAAAUCAUAAUAUUUCAAUCAAUAUAAUGUUCAAUAAUAUUAUCCUCUUAAAAUUCUUUCUUUGGUUGGUUGGGUAGGUGGGUUAAAAGAUAUGAAUGCUUUUGGUAACUAUAAUUUAAAAAUAUUUUCAAAGAUGAACAUAUAAUACAUUACUUGUUCAUUUAUUAAAAAUACAGAUACUUGGGCUCCCCUUUAUCUUAAAGAAUCAAAAUCUCUAGGAGAGAGAUAUGGGAACUUUAAUUCUAAUAUGUACUCCAUUGAUUUUAUGAUUAUCAAUGUCAGGCGAUAUGGACUUAAGUUCUGAAACAUAGGUCUAUCAUUGAAAGACUUGGAGAGUCUGUUAAAAGGUAUUGUAAGCUUUCUGAGGUUUGGGAGAAAAAUUGUAUUAUUUUCUUUCUGUCUCAUAAACCAGUCAAGAGAUAGGUUGAUGAUCCUGGGGUUCCAGGCAACUCAGUGAUGUAGUUUAAUCCAUCUAUAGUCAAGUCCGAUACUUCUCCAUUUCUUUCAUCUCUCAGCUAACAAGAAACACAUUUAUUUAGGUGGCCAUAUGCUCAUUUAAAGCUUGAUUUUAAUGGAAGAAAUGUAUAUUGAUUACUAGAAUACAAGUAUCAAUCUGCUACACUAUCAGGCCUGCUCUCCUUUUCACUAAACAUUUCCACCUUUAAAGGAAUGAUCUAUGUGGGAGUUAUAUAUUCAUUUACAUUUUUAGUAUUGAUUCUUAAUGAAAGUAUCCAUUAGAAUGCAGACAUGCAGAAUUAGAAUGCACAGUAUAUAAAUGCAUUCAGCCACUUUCACAACCUUUUUAAUUAUAGAGGACAUGUAUAAAAAUAUUCAGUGAAUGCUGGCAAUUUUAUAAAUGAAUUUUUUCCUUUUAUUUAACAUACUAUUUUUUUUUAAAAAUCAUAACUAUAUGUUAAGCCUUGUAUCAAUGGGAAGAAAAAGUUGGUAAAGAAAGCAGAUACUACUGCUGUCUUCCGUGAACUUUGGGUAUACUGGUGAAAGUUAGUUUCCAUCAACAAUGGGAAUUCCACUUUCCCACAUGACUAUUUUCUACACAAGCUUUGUGAGUCAGCUUUUACAUCCCCCACAUCACGUAAUUUAAUUCUUAAGGAAAUCUUGUUAGAUGGGCAUCAGUUCUGCAUUUUACCCCUAAUGAAAGUGAGGCACAGAAAAUGUAGCAACAUUUAAAACUGACACUUGAUAAGGAAAAAUAUAGUGUUUUCUUGCCUUGGGAUAAAAUUCACAAAACUUAAAGUUUGCCAUUUUGAAGAAUAAGUUUUUUAGUAUACAUUCAUUGACAGUGUUGUACAAUCAUCAGUAUAAUUCUAACAUAUUUCCAUCAUUUAUCCCCCCUUCCAAGAAACAAAGAACAACCACACACUUCCCAAUUUCCUGUAUAUCAAUUCCUGAGAACCAUGAAACUAUUUCUUAUCUCUAUGAAUUUGCCUAUUUGGAUAUUCCAUAUACAUGGAAUCCUGUAGUAUGUGUAUGAUUUUCAUAUGGAAGUGAAUCUACUCAUCUAUUUAUUGUGUGUGGUCUUUCUUUGAGUGAUUUCCUGCACUUAGCACAGUGUUUACAAAGUUUAACCACAUUGUAGUAUGGAUUAGUACUUCUUUCCUUUUUAUGACUGAGUAAUAUUCCACUUGUGGGUGUAUCACAUUUUAUUUAUCCAUUGUCAAUUCACAGACAUUUGGAUUAUAUCUACUUAUUGUAUUUAAUGAAUAAUAUAGCUCUUGAAGUGUGUUGGAGUUGAAUUAUUCAUCCUCAUAAAACAAGUAAAAAAUAAAUCACUAAAUGAUCAAUUUAAUGUUAAAAAAUAAUGACUUCCAUAUAGUCACAUAGUAGAAUGUUACAUAGAGAUGAAAAUAAAUGAAUUAUAGCUCUGAUAUCAAUAUAUAUAAAGAUCACAAAGGAGUCUAAAAAGCAAGCCAUAUAAGAAUAUAUAUAGUAUUGUUUUCUUUGUAAAAAUUACUAUGAUACCCUAAACUAUGCAUAUAUAUGAAUACAUGUGUAAAUUUGAAAUGUAUAAAUAUUUACAUUUUGUGAAUAUAUUUUUUGAUAUGCAGUGAAAUUACAGAGGAACGCAGGAAAUAAUGAACAGAAAAUUCAGUUUGGUGAUUUCCUCUGAUUAUAACAGCUGAAUUAUUUGAAAUGACUCUAAUAUCAGGAGCCAUGGCAAAACUUGCAAAUACAGGGUUCAUCAGACGAAAUUAUCUCCAAGGCUCCUGCUGAGAAAAGAUGCAGUGUGAAAUAUUUGUGAGGCAUCUCUCAUGACCUGCUUUACAACCUCAAGGGAGGACACGAAAUGCCUGUGUUUUGUCUGCCCUAGGCCAUCUAUCUUACCGCAUAAAACUCCUCACUCAUGUAUCAAUAAAAGAUUUAGCUUGUUGAAUAUG